Molecule: transfer RNA, 68 nt
Filed under: Muntiacus reevesi (Reeves' muntjac)
Lineage: Eukaryota; Metazoa; Chordata; Mammalia; Artiodactyla; Cervidae
Also listed under: 8 other names
Rfam family: tRNA
About the family: Transfer RNA (tRNA) molecules are approximately 80 nucleotides in length. Their secondary structure includes four short double-helical elements and three loops (D, anti-codon, and T loops). Further hydrogen bonds mediate the characteristic L-shaped molecular structure. tRNAs have two regions of fundamental functional importance: the anti-codon, which is responsible for specific mRNA codon recognition, and the 3' end, to which the tRNAs corresponding amino acid is attached (by aminoacyl-tRNA synthetases). tRNAs cope with the degeneracy of the genetic code in two manners: having more than one tRNA (with a specific anti-codon) for a particular amino acid; and 'wobble' base-pairing, i.e. permitting non-standard base-pairing at the 3rd anti-codon position.
Source: Rfam by way of RNAcentral
CCCUGACUCAGUCAGUAAAGAAUCUGCCUGCAAUGCAGGAGACCCAGGUUCAAUCCCUGGGUCAGGAA